This 396-nucleotide unclassified non-coding RNA is filed under the name Hevea brasiliensis (rubber tree). The record is from RNAcentral. Lineage: Eukaryota; Viridiplantae; Streptophyta; Magnoliopsida; Malpighiales; Euphorbiaceae.
GUGAAAGUGAAGUUAGCUCAAAUGUAACUAUGAAAUUAAUAAUUGAAUUACAAGAACCCAAAGGUCUAAAAGAAACAUUCACAAGUCACAACAGGCAAUAUAAAAUGCUCAAGGAAAAGCCUUUAAUCAGGUUGGAUCUCCAUACACCUAAACAAAAGCUUCCUCAUGCAUACGAUGGAGCGAGGCAUUCGUCAACCAUGUCAACGAGGUUAGGGUUCUCCAAUGCUGCAGCUACGCGUUCUUUAUCAUUCAACUGCUUAUUUACUGCAGUUUCCGUAGCAUGACUCCCCGGUGCUACUCUAAUAUCGACCUUAUAACGGGAAGGCAAACUUCGCAUAAGCUUCACACGCAAGCAUAAUCCAAUAACAGUCGCCAUGCUGCAAUGUUCCACGGUAG